Molecule: ribosomal RNA, 662 nt
Filed under: uncultured fungus
Lineage: Eukaryota; Fungi
Description: eukaryotic LSU rRNA
Rfam family: Eukaryotic large subunit ribosomal RNA
Source: RNAcentral
ACCCGCUGAACUUAAGCAUAUCAAUAAGCGGAGGAAAAGAAACUAACAAGGAUUCCCCUAGUAACUGCGAGUGAAGCGGGAAAAGCUCAAAUUUAAAAUCUGGCGGUCCUUGUGGCUGUCCGAGUUGUAAUCUAGAGAAGUGCUAUCCGCGCUGGACCGUGUACAAGUCUCCUGGAACGGAGCGUCAUAGAGGGUGAGAAUCCCGUCUUUGACACGGACUACCAGGGCUUUGUGAUGUGCUCUCAAAGAGUCGAGUUGUUUGGGAAUGCAGCUCUAAAUGGGUGGUAAAUUCCAUCUAAAGCUAAAUAUUGGCGAGAGACCGAUAGCGAACAAGUACCGUGAGGGAAAGAUGAAAAGAACUUUGGAAAGAGAGUUAAACAGUACGUGAAAUUGUUGAAAGGGAAACGCUUGAAGUCAGUCGCGUUGUCCGGGGAUCAACCUUGCUCUUUUGCUUGGCGUACUUUCCGGUUAACGGGUCAGCAUCAAUUUUGACCGGUGGAUAAAGGUCAGGGGAAUGUGGCAUCUUCGGAUGUGUUAUAGCCCUUGGUUGCAUACAUCGGUUGGGAUUGAGGAACUCAGCACGCCGCAAGGCCGGGUCUUUGACCACGUACGUGCUUAGGAUGCUGGCAUAAUGGCUUUAAUCGACCCGUCUUGAAACACGG